Molecule: ribosomal RNA, 903 nt
Filed under: uncultured Nitrospirota bacterium
Lineage: Bacteria; Pseudomonadati; Nitrospirota
Description: bacterial SSU rRNA
Rfam family: Bacterial small subunit ribosomal RNA
Source: RNAcentral
AUGAACGCUGGCGGCGCGCCUAAUACAUGCAAGUCGAGCGAGAAGACGUAGCAAUACGUUUGUAAAGCGGCGAACGGGUGAGGAAUACAUGGGUAACCUACCCUCGAGUGGGGAAUAACUAGCCGAAAGGUUAGCUAAUACCGCGUACGCUUCUUGGACUUCGGUUCAGGGAGGAAAGCGAUACCGUGGGUAUCGCGCUCUUGGAUGGGCUCAUGUCCUAUCAGCUUGUUGGUGAGGUAACGGCUCACCAAGGCUUCGACGGGUAGCUGGUCUGAGAGGACGAUCAGCCACACUGGCACUGCGACACGGGCCAGACUCCUACGGGAGGCAGCAGUAAGGAAUAUUGCGCAAUGGGCGAAAGCCUGACGCAGCGACGCCGCGUGGGGGAUGAAGGUCUUCGGAUUGUAAACCCCUUUCGGGAGGGAAGAUGGAAUGGGGUAACCCAUUUGGACGGUACCUCCAGAAGCAGCCACGGCUAACUUCGUGGCAGCAGCCGCGGUAAUACUAAGGUGGCAAGCGUUAUUCGGAUUUACUGGGCGUACAGGGAGCGUAGGCGGUUCGGUAAGCCCUUUGUGAAAUCUUCUCGCUUAACCUGGAAAAGUCGGAGGGGACUGCCGGGAUAGAGGACGGGAGAGGAGCGCGGAAUUCCCUGUGUAGCGGUGAAAUGCGUAUAGAUCGUGAAGGAAUGGCCGGUGGCGAAAGCGGCGCUCUCUAACGUUUCUGACGCUCAUGCUCUACAGCGUGGGUAGCAAACAUGAAUAGAUACUCUGGCAGUCCUCCGCCUUCAACUAUGAAGUACUAAGUGUCGGCGGGGAUUACUCCUUCUGCGCAGCUAACGAAUCAAAUAUCUAGCUAGGUAAGUAGCCGCGUGCAGGUCGAACAUCAUAUGAGAUGCUCCGAGCA